GCGAGCGUAGCUCAGUUGGUAGAGCAUUAGCUUCCCAAGCUAAGGGUCGCGGGUUCGAAUCCCGUCACUCGCU
RNAcentral lists this transfer RNA (73 nucleotides) under Ignavibacteriaceae bacterium. RNAcentral's name for it is "tRNA-Gly". It matches the Rfam family "tRNA". From Rfam's summary of the family: Transfer RNA (tRNA) molecules are approximately 80 nucleotides in length. The record is from RNAcentral. Lineage: Bacteria; Pseudomonadati; Ignavibacteriota; Ignavibacteria; Ignavibacteriales; Ignavibacteriaceae.